Molecule: ribosomal RNA, 497 nt
Filed under: uncultured bacterium
Lineage: Bacteria
Description: partial 16S ribosomal RNA
Rfam family: Bacterial small subunit ribosomal RNA
Source: RNAcentral
GAUGCACGCUGCCGGCGUGCCUAAUACAUGCAAGUCGAGCGAACAGACGAGGAGCUUGCUCCUUUGACGUUAGCGGCGGACGGGUGAGUAACACGUGGCUAACCUACCUAUAAGACUGGGAUAACUUCGGGAAACCGGAGCUAAUACCGGAUAACAUGUUGAACCGCAUGGUUCAACAGUGAAAGACGGUCUUGCUGUCCCUUAUACAUGGAUCCGCGCCGCACUAGCUAGUUGGUAAGGUAACGGCUUACCAAGGCAACGAUGCGUAGCCGACCUGAGAGGGUGAUCGGCCACACUGGAACUGAAACACGGUCCAGACUCCUACGGGAGGCAGCAGUAGGGAAUCUUCCGCAAUGGGCGAAAGCCUGACGGAGCAACGCCGCGUGAGUGAAGAAGGUCUUCGGAUCGUAAAACUCUGUGAUUAGGGAAGAACAAAUGUGUAAGUAACUAUGCACGUCUUGACGGUACCUAAUCAGAAAGCCACGGCUAACUACGUG